This 48-nucleotide non-coding RNA is filed under the name Schistosoma mansoni. Lineage: Eukaryota; Metazoa; Platyhelminthes; Trematoda; Strigeidida; Schistosomatidae. The record is from RNAcentral.
AUCUAGCUGACGAGUCCCAAAUAGAACGAAACGCGCGUCAAACUGGGU